CACCCAGGACUGGCAUGGCGAGGAGGAGGGGCCGCCACCAGCUGUCCCGUUCCCCUCCUCCUCGCCUCGGCCAUCCCUGUCCUCGCCUCUUCCCACCUGCCGCACACUUACUUGGUGGGCUGUACGGCGACGUAGUUCCUGAUGUGUGAAAUAUCUCCCACCGACGAAAAAAAAAAAAAAACACCUUCCACUGACGCUUCUGCGAAUGCGUCGUACCGUGGACCUGCUGACUGCUGACACGCGACAACUGAGUAAACAAAGAUGGCGGGAUGGAGGAACACGUGCGUCGGUCACUCCACAUCCACUGUCCAUCACUAGCAGACCUACUGAGUGGUUCUUAAGACACUCAAGCACACCAGGGUCCUCCUCCAGAAGAUUGGACAGCUGGCCAGAAUCUAACCAGAUAACCUGCCUGCUGCCAGCACCUUCGGGGCAAGAUGGUGGAGACGUCAUAACAGGGAGGCCAGCUACGUGUGGGAGCGACAUAUCUUCAAGGGAGGAUGAGGAUCUGAAGGUGGAGACAAAAUUUGUCCUUGUUUUCAAGAAAGGCUACAGGACUUCAUGAAUGAUGUGCUGCCUGGAGCUACGGCAGGAUCCAGCGGGUGACGUCUUGCCCCUCAAAGGACACCCAUGCUCAUGAAGUUCCAAAUCUCCAACCUGCUCUAGCUCAGGUAUGGAUGGACACACUACAAUUUGAAGCAGCCCCACAGUUAUUGGCCAAGCAUAGUUAGAGAAUAGGAUCACGAGGGCAGUGGUUUGGAAGGGGCAGCAAAGAGGGUUGUGUAUCAUUGUUGUGUAACCCAAGGGUGUGGAGUGUAAAUAUAUACAUUUAUAAGUUUAUUUGUUGGAGUAAGAGUGAGGGCCAGCAAUAACCCAGGAAUAAAGCAUGCAAAGUUGGUUGGAUUGUAAGGUUAGGGUUAGGUUGUGUUGGUUACAGGGGGGUAAGGAGGUACCAGGGGAGAGAGAGAGAGAGAGAGAGAGAGAGAGAGAGAGAGAGAGAGAGAGAGAGAGAGAGAGAGAGAGAGAGAGAGAGAGAGAGAGAGAG
Molecule: long non-coding RNA, 1045 nt
Organism: Scylla paramamosain (green mud crab)
Lineage: Eukaryota; Metazoa; Arthropoda; Malacostraca; Decapoda; Portunidae
Exons: 4
Source: RefSeq, a predicted model, not a curated record